This 322-nucleotide ribosomal RNA is filed under the name uncultured eukaryote. RNAcentral describes it as "partial 18S ribosomal RNA". It matches the Rfam family "Eukaryotic small subunit ribosomal RNA", at positions 1470 to 1796 of the family's 1831-position model. The record is from RNAcentral.
CCCUUAGAUGUUCUGGGCCGCACGCGUGCUACACUGAGUGGAUCAGCGGGUCAGGUUACGCGAGAGCGUUUCCUAAUCUUCAAAUCCGCUCGUGAUGGGGAUUGACGGUUGCAAUUUUCCGUCAUGAACGAGGAAUACCUUGUAAGCGCGGGUCAUCAUCCCGCGCUGAAUACGUCCCUGCCCUUUGUACACACCGCCCGUCGCUCCUGCCGAUUGAGUGGUCCGGUGAGGCUUUGGGAUCUAAGCGAAAAGAGCGUUUCGCUCCUUUUGCUGGGAGAACUCAGUCGAACCUUAUCAUUUAGAGGAAGGAGAAGUCGUAACA